AGAGUUUGAUCCUGGCUCAGGAUGAACGCUGGCGGUAUGCUUAACACAUGCAAGUCGAACGAAUCCCUUCGGGGAUUAGUGGCGGACGGGUGAGUAACGCGUGAGAAUUUACCAAAAGGACUGGGACAACCACUGGAAACGGUGGCUAAUACCGGAUGAACCGAAAAGUAAAAAGGGAAACCUGCCUUUUGAAGAGCUCGCGUCUGAUUAGCUAGUUGGUGAGGUAAGAGCUCACCAAGGCAGCGAUCAGUAGCUGGUCUGAGAGGAUGACCAGCCACACUGGGACUGAGACACGGCCCAGACUCCUACGGGAGGCAGCAGUGGGGAAUUUUCCGCAAUGGGCGAAAGCCUGACGGAGCAAUACCGCGUGAGGGAAGAAGGCUCUUGGGUCGUAAACCUCUUUUAUCAGGGAAGAAAAAAAUGACGGUACCUGAAGAAUCAGCCUCGGCUAACUCCGUGCCAGCAGCCGCGGUAAUACGGAGGAGGCAAGCGUUAUCCGGAAUUAUUGGGCGUAAAGCGUCCGCAGGUGGCUUAUCAAGUCUGCUGUCAAAGAGUGGGGCUUAACCCCAUUAAGGCAGUGGAAACUGAGAAGCUAGAGUGCCGUAGGGGUAGAGGGAAUUCCCGGUGUAGCGGUGAAAUGCGUAGAGAUCGGGAAGAACAUCGGUGGCGAAAGCGCUCUACUGGACGGCAACUGACACUCAGGGACGAAAGCUAGGGGAGCGAAUGGGAUUAGAUACCCCAGUAGUCC
RNAcentral lists this ribosomal RNA (748 nucleotides) under uncultured bacterium. RNAcentral's name for it is "bacterial SSU rRNA". It matches the Rfam family "Bacterial small subunit ribosomal RNA", at positions 8 to 796 of the family's 1533-position model. The record is from RNAcentral.